GACGAACGCUGGCGGCGUGCUUAACACAUGCAAGUCGAACGGAAAGGCCCUGCUUUUGUGUGGUGCUCGAGUGGCGAACGGGUGAGUAACACGUGAGUAACCUGCCCUUGACUUUGGGAUAACUUCAGGAAACUGGGGCUAAUACCGGAUAGGAGCUCCUGCUGCAUGGUGGGGGUUGGAAAGUUUCGGCGGUUGGGGAUGGACUCGCGGCUUAUCAGCUUGUUGGUGGGGUAGUGGCUUACCAAGGCUUUGACGGGUAGCCGGCCUGAGAGCGUGACCGGCGACAUUGGGACUGAGAUACGGACCAGACUCCUACGGGAGGCAGCAGUGGGGAAUAUUGCACAAUGGGCGGACGCCUGAUGCAGCAACGCCGCGUGCGGGAUGACGGCCUUCGGGUGGUAAACCGCUUUCGCCUGUGACGAAGCGUGAGUGACGGUAAUGGGUAAAGAAGCACCGGCUAACUACGUG
Molecule: ribosomal RNA, 468 nt
Filed under: uncultured bacterium
Lineage: Bacteria
Description: partial 16S ribosomal RNA
Rfam family: Bacterial small subunit ribosomal RNA
Source: RNAcentral